RNAcentral lists this long non-coding RNA (475 nucleotides) under Gossypium raimondii (Peruvian cotton). Its description in RNAcentral is "long non-coding RNA (GRAI_LNC000454)". Lineage: Eukaryota; Viridiplantae; Streptophyta; Magnoliopsida; Malvales; Malvaceae. The record is from RNAcentral.
AUUAAAAAGAGUCCAAAACGUAGCAUCUACAAUGAAAAUAAAAAUAAAAAGUAAUUGUUAUUUGACUGAAUUUUGACUUUCAUUUUGGUCCAUAACAAAAUCUUAAAAAAAUAAAAAUUAAUGUUGAAAUUUGUUAUCACAAAUCAAAAUCUUAUUUGUGUAAGCAUAAAAACCCUUUUAAGAAUCUUUGAAAAAAACACCAACCUCAACAUAUGUUGAGGUUGUAACAAGCCCAAUUUGCCCGGGACUAGGACUAAAAGAAACCAAAAUUCCAAACCCUCUAAACCCAAAAGGCCCAAAUCAGAAAAACUAGCCCAAUACCCAAAAAUAGAAAAAAUAAAACAGAAACCCUAGCCCCCCUAACCCUAGCCGCCACACCCUAUGUCUGCCACCACACCUAGGGUCCUCUGACCUCUGCCACCACCAGUUUGUUGCUGCAGCACCGCCCCCUCCACUUGCACCUGCAAAAGAAGAA